RNAcentral lists this ribosomal RNA (1000 nucleotides) under Nocardiopsis sp. ZZY-2013. Its description in RNAcentral is "bacterial SSU rRNA". It matches the Rfam family "Bacterial small subunit ribosomal RNA", at positions 28 to 1036 of the family's 1533-position model. The record is from RNAcentral. Lineage: Bacteria; Bacillati; Actinomycetota; Actinomycetes; Streptosporangiales; Nocardiopsidaceae.
UACCAGUGGGCGGCAGCUUACCAUGACAAGUCGAGCGGUAAGGCCCUUCGGGGUACACGAGCGGCGAACGGGUGAGUAACACGUGAGCAACCUGCCCCUGACUCCGGGAUAAGCGGUGGAAACGCCGUCUAAUACCGGAUACGACCGGCCGCCUCAUGGUGGCCGGUGGAAAGUUCUUCGGUUGGGGAUGGGCUCGCGGCCUAUCAGCUUGUUGGUGGGGUAAAGGCCUACCAAGGCGAUUACGGGUAGCCGGCCUGAGAGGGCGACCGGCCACACUGGGACUGAGACACGGCCCAGACUCCUGCGGGAGGCAGCAGUGGGGAAUAUUGCGCAAUGGGCGAAAGCCUGACGCAGCGACGCCGCGUGGGGGAUGACGGCCUUCGGGUUGUAAACCUCUUUUACCACCAACGCAGGCUCCCAGUUCUCUGGGGGUUGACGGUAGGUGGGGAAUAAGGACCGGCUAACUACGUGCCAGCAGCCGCGGUAAUACGUAGGGUCCGAGCGUUGUCCGGAAUUAUUGGGCGUAAAGAGCUCGUAGGCGGCGUGUCGCGUCUGCUGUGAAAGACCGGGGCUUAACUCCGGUUCUGCAGUGGAUACGGGCAUGCUAGAGGUAGGUAGGGGAGACUGGAAUUCCUGGUGUAGCGGUGAAAUGCGCAGAUAUCAGGAGGAACACCGGUGGCGAAGGCGGGUCUCUGGGCCUUACCUGACGCUGAGGAGCGAAAGCAUGGGGAGCGAACAGGAUUAGAUACCCUGGUAGUCCAUGCCGUAAACGUUGGGCGCUAGGUGUGGGGACUUUCCACGGUUUCCGCGCCGUAGCUAACGCAUUAAGCGCCCCGCCUGGGGAGUACGGCCGCAAGGCUAAAACUCAAAGGAAUUGACGGGGGCCCGCACAAGCGGCGGAGCAUGUUGCUUAAUUCGACGCAACGCGAAGAACCUUACCAAGGUUUGACAUCACCCGUGGACCUGCAGAGAUGUGGGGUCAUUUAGUUGGUGGGUGACA